This 356-nucleotide ribosomal RNA is filed under the name uncultured Rhodoferax sp. Its description in RNAcentral is "bacterial SSU rRNA". It matches the Rfam family "Bacterial small subunit ribosomal RNA", at positions 1022 to 1382 of the family's 1533-position model. The record is from RNAcentral. Lineage: Bacteria; Pseudomonadati; Pseudomonadota; Betaproteobacteria; Burkholderiales; Comamonadaceae.
GAGAGCCGUAACACAGGUGCUGCAUGGCUGUCGUCAGCUCGUGUCGUGAGAUGUUGGGUUAAGUCCCGCAACGAGCGCAACCCUUGUCAUUAGUUGCUACAUUCAGUUGGGCACUCUAAUGAGACUGCCGGUGACAAGCGGAGGAAGGUGGGGAUGACGUCAAGUCCUCAUGGCCCUUAUAGUGGGGCUACACACGUCAUACAAUGGCUGGUACAAAGGGUUGCCAACCCGCGAGGGGGAGCCAAUCCCAUAAAGCCAGUCGUAGUCCGGAUCGUAGUCUGCAACUCGACUACGUGAAGUCGGAAUCGCUAGUAAUCGUGGAUCAGAAUGUCACGGUGAAUACGUUCCCGGGUCUU